GCUGGGCCCUUUGGCACAUGCCUAUAAUCCCUGCACGAUGGGAGGCAGAGGUAGGUGGAGCUCUGCAAGUUUGAGGCCAGCCUGGUCUACAAAGCAAGUCCAGGACAGCCAGGGCUACACAGCGAAACCCUGUCUUG
Molecule: small RNA, 137 nt
Filed under: Brugia malayi
Lineage: Eukaryota; Metazoa; Nematoda; Chromadorea; Rhabditida; Onchocercidae
Description: RNA transcript Bm16760
Source: RNAcentral